AUGAUAACUAGUGCAAGUGUGUGAAAGCAUUUUAUGUUCAAAAAUUGGAAGAACUUUCAAAAAAAGGAGAAUUUUAAACUUGAGGAAAACAUUAGUUAAAUUCAAAGUUUUUGGACUUAAACAUACAAGAUCAAGAUUUCAAAGCAUACAACAUUGUUCAUUCAAUAUUUCAAAGUUCAUCAUUCUAAAACAAAAAUCAAGAAUAUUCAAGCUCCAAAAUACAUUGAAGAAAAUCACAAAUGAAUAA
Molecule: non-coding RNA, 247 nt
Organism: Vicia faba (fava bean)
Lineage: Eukaryota; Viridiplantae; Streptophyta; Magnoliopsida; Fabales; Fabaceae
Source: the annotation of a GenBank genome assembly